This 240-nucleotide unclassified non-coding RNA is filed under the name soil metagenome. Its description in RNAcentral is "partial contains 5.8S ribosomal RNA, internal transcribed spacer 2, and large subunit ribosomal RNA". The record is from RNAcentral.
AAGACUAUAGACCUGCGGAGUACCUGCGGAAGGAUCAUUAAUGAAAAAACUUUUUAAGUUUCUUCAUAUUCCCUGUUUAUAUUAAAUACGUUCCUUCCAUUGGACAGGUCCUUGAGACCCUCUAGCUUGAGCAAAUGCUUUUGCUGGGGAGCUGCCGAUGGCGUUUCUGAAUACAAAAAAUUUGUUAUUAUAUGAAGUGUCUGAAUAUAUUUUGAAAUUAAAUAAAACUUUCAGCAACGG